GCGAUAUUUAACGGAAGUUGAGCAAGUGAAGAACCUGGGAGAGCAGCUUCGAUGCCUUUGCUGAGGGGUGACGUACUUCACGUUGCUCCCUUUCCGUCUGCUUUGUACAUCCUGUAAACUACCUGCCUACCGACUCGCCUCCUUUCCUUCCGCCCCCGCACCUACCGGUUCCUCGUUACCAUUUUCUCUGCCCCGAAGUCCUCGGUCUCGCUCAACCUGCUCCUCCUCCUCCUCUGUCCUCCAUUCAGUUUAGGGUGCCGCUUGCCAGAAACCCAGAAUUGUUGCCAACUCGUCUUUCUCUGUCAUCUCUCCUGUAGUUUUUGCAAAUCUCUUGUUUCUCUCCACUGUAGUAGUGAUAAUGAUCACAUUGAUAGUGGUGAUGAUAAAGAUAGUUACUGUUUAUAUGUGUAGGGUUAUAUAUCUAUUAUAUGUAAUAGAUAUAAAAUAUAUAUUAUUUUAAACAUAUAUUCUGUAUUGAGUUUUAGGUGAAAAGCGCUUAAAACAGUUUGGUUUUUGGGCCAGGGGAGCAUUGCCAUUUAAAAACUGCUUUCAGUUUAUAAUGCAGGGAACUUUCAGAUCAUCUUUAUAGCAGAACCCUUUGAGGGGGCCCCUUUCCUUUGUAUGGAUGUAAGGAGUGUCACAAUUUGUGUGCUCAAGACUUGGUCAUCCUGAGUUUCUAAAGAGAUACACAAAGAGGAGAGGAACCUGAGUUGCCUCAAGAAGAUGAUGGGAGAGUGAAGGGCUUUCAUGGACUUCUCUAAAAUACAGUCACAGAACCUGUGUCUUCUUCCUCUGUGAGUCAUCUUCAGGGACGAACAGUGGUGUCUCUCUUCUCUUUGAUUUACUGCCAUGAAGUUUGGGCGAUGCUGUAAUACCUUGUUUGUAUGAAGAAACUUCCAAUCCCCAGAGUGACCAAGAGAGGAAUUUCCAGUGGGAUGCUGGCAUCAUUUAAUGGCUGGCUCUCCAGAGACAAAAAGCUCUCUGCUGAUUUCCAUGUUAGUUUACAAUGUUACUUUUAUAUUGAAAAUCAUCAUGAUAUCUACAUGAUAUCUACAUUGCCACAUCUAAAUAGCGAUCCACGGGCAAGUGAUGCAUGCAGAGCCUCCGAAAGACCAAACUGCCACCCUCCAAUGCUCCAGGCCCCCAGCUGCAGAUCAGCCUUCUGGUCCCACACACUGCGGGUCACUGGCUCAGAGCAAUGGUUAUCAUCAAAAGAGAUUAAUAAGAAGACAUUGACUUCUACUGAGAUAGAU
RNAcentral lists this long non-coding RNA (1253 nucleotides) under Equus asinus (donkey). RNAcentral describes it as "lncRNA (ENSEASG00005026166.1)". Lineage: Eukaryota; Metazoa; Chordata; Mammalia; Perissodactyla; Equidae. The record is from RNAcentral.